RNAcentral lists this ribosomal RNA (2933 nucleotides) under Escherichia coli. RNAcentral describes it as "23S ribosomal RNA". It matches the Rfam family "Bacterial large subunit ribosomal RNA". The record is from RNAcentral. Lineage: Bacteria; Pseudomonadati; Pseudomonadota; Gammaproteobacteria; Enterobacterales; Enterobacteriaceae.
GGGUUGUGAGGUUAAGCGACUAAGCGUACACGGUGGAUGCCCUGGCAGUCAGAGGCGAUGAAGGACGUGCUAAUCUGCGAUAAGCGUCGGUAAGGUGAUAUGAACCGUUAUAACCGGCGAUUUCCGAAUGGGGAAACCCAGUGUGAUUCGUCACACUAUCAUUAACUGAAUCCAUAGGUUAAUGAGGCGAACCGGGGGAACUGAAACAUCUAAGUACCCCGAGGAAAAGAAAUCAACCGAGAUUCCCCCAGUAGCGGCGAGCGAACGGGGAGCAGCCCAGAGCCUGAAUCAGUGUGUGUGUUAGUGGAAGCGUCUGGAAAGGCGUGCGAUACAGGGUGACAGCCCCGUACACAAAAAUGCACAUGCUGUGAGCUCGAUGAGUAGGGCGGGACACGUGGUAUCCUGUCUGAAUAUGGGGGGACCAUCCUCCAAGGCUAAAUACUCCUGACUGACCGAUAGUGAACCAGUACCGUGAGGGAAAGGCGAAAAGAACCCCGGCGAGGGGAGUGAAAAAGAACCUGAAACCGUGUACGUACAAGCAGUGGGAGCACAGAGCAAUCUGUGUGACUGCGUACCUUUUGUAUAAUGGGUCAGCGACUUAUAUUCUGUAGCAAGGUUAACCGAAUAGGGGAGCCGAAGGGAAACCGAGUCUUAACUGGGCGUUAAGUUGCAGGGUAUAGACCCGAAACCCGGUGAUCUAGCCAUGGGCAGGUUGAAGGUUGGGUAACACUAACUGGAGGACCGAACCGACUAAUGUUGAAAAAUUAGCGGAUGACUUGUGGCUGGGGGUGAAAGGCCAAUCAAACCGGGAGAUAGCUGGUUCUCCCCGAAAGCUAUUUAGGUAGCGCCUCGUGAAUUCAUCUCCGGGGGUAGAGCACUGUUUCGGCAAGGGGGUCAUCCCGACUUACCAACCCGAUGCAAACUGCGAAUACCGGAGAAUGUUAUCACGGGAGACACACGGCGGGUGCUAACGUCCGUCGUGAAGAGGGAAACAACCCAGACCGCCAGCUAAGGUCCCAAAGUCAUGGUUAAGUGGGAAACGAUGUGGGAAGGCCCAGACAGCCAGGAUGUUGGCUUAGAAGCAGCCAUCAUUUAAAGAAAGCGUAAUAGCUCACUGGUCGAGUCGGCCUGCGCGGAAGAUGUAACGGGGCUAAACCAUGCACCGAAGCUGCGGCAGCGACGCUUAUGCGUUGUUGGGUAGGGGAGCGUUCUGUAAGCCUGUGAAGGUGUACUGUGAGGUAUGCUGGAGGUAUCAGAAGUGCGAAUGCUGACAUAAGUAACGAUAAAGCGGGUGAAAAGCCCGCUCGCCGGAAGACCAAGGGUUCCUGUCCAACGUUAAUCGGGGCAGGGUGAGUCGACCCCUAAGGCGAGGCCGAAAGGCGUAGUCGAUGGGAAACAGGUUAAUAUUCCUGUACUUGGUGUUACUGCGAAGGGGGGACGGAGAAGGCUAUGUUGGCCGGGCGACGGUUGUCCCGGUUUAAGCGUGUAGGCUGGUUUUCCAGGCAAAUCCGGAAAAUCAAGGCUGAGGCGUGAUGACGAGGCACUACGGUGCUGAAGCAACAAAUGCCCUGCUUCCAGGAAAAGCCUCUAAGCAUCAGGUAACAUCAAAUCGUACCCCAAACCGACACAGGUGGUCAGGUAGAGAAUACCAAGGCGCUUGAGAGAACUCGGGUGAAGGAACUAGGCAAAAUGGUGCCGUAACUUCGGGAGAAGGCACGCUGAUAUGUAGGUGAAGUCCCUCGCGGAUGGAGCUGAAAUCAGUCGAAGAUACCAGCUGGCUGCAACUGUUUAUUAAAAACACAGCACUGUGCAAACACGAAAGUGGACGUAUACGGUGUGACGCCUGCCCGGUGCCGGAAGGUUAAUUGAUGGGGUUAGCGCAAGCGAAGCUCUUGAUCGAAGCCCCGGUAAACGGCGGCCGUAACUAUAACGGUCCUAAGGUAGCGAAAUUCCUUGUCGGGUAAGUUCCGACCUGCACGAAUGGCGUAAUGAUGGCCAGGCUGUCUCCACCCGAGACUCAGUGAAAUUGAACUCGCUGUGAAGAUGCAGUGUACCCGCGGCAAGACGGAAAGACCCCGUGAACCUUUACUAUAGCUUGACACUGAACAUUGAGCCUUGAUGUGUAGGAUAGGUGGGAGGCUUUGAAGUGUGGACGCCAGUCUGCAUGGAGCCGACCUUGAAAUACCACCCUUUAAUGUUUGAUGUUCUAACGUUGACCCGUGAUCCGGGUUGCGGACAGUGUCUGGUGGGUAGUUUGACUGGGGCGGUCUCCUCCUAAAGAGUAACGGAGGAGCACGAAGGUUGGCUAAUCCUGGUCGGACAUCAGGAGGUUAGUGCAAUGGCAUAAGCCAGCUUGACUGCGAGCGUGACGGCGCGAGCAGGUGCGAAAGCAGGUCAUAGUGAUCCGGUGGUUCUGAAUGGAAGGGCCAUCGCUCAACGGAUAAAAGGUACUCCGGGGAUAACAGGCUGAUACCGCCCAAGAGUUCAUAUCGACGGCGGUGUUUGGCACCUCGAUGUCGGCUCAUCACAUCCUGGGGCUGAAGUAGGUCCCAAGGGUAUGGCUGUUCGCCAUUUAAAGUGGUACGCGAGCUGGGUUUAGAACGUCGUGAGACAGUUCGGUCCCUAUCUGCCGUGGGCGCUGGAGAACUGAGGGGGGCUGCUCCUAGUACGAGAGGACCGGAGUGGACGCAUCACUGGUGUUCGGGUUGUCAUGCCAAUGGCACUGCCCGGUAGCUAAAUGCGGAAGAGAUAAGUGCUGAAAGCAUCUAAGCACGAAACUUGCCCCGAGAUGAGUUCUCCCUGACUCCUUGAGAGUCCUGAAGGAACGUUGAAGACGACGACGUUGAUAGGCCGGGUGUGUAAGCGCAGCGAUGCGUUGAGCUAACCGGUACUAAUGAACCGUGAGGCUUAACCUUACAACGCCGAAGGUGUUU